GAUCUGAACUGUGUUGCUAGGUGAAGAUUCCAACUUCCUGGGCAGAGGGUCAUGUAGUGGAAUAGAGCUGUACCUGGCUUCAGGCGAGACUUGGAGCUCAAAACUUUCAGUAGGACAGCCAGGCGCGGUGGCUGAUGCCUGUAAUCCCAGCACUUUGGGAGGCCGAGCAACUCCAAAAUGGAAGUACUAUUGUUAUCUCCGUUUACAAAUUAGGAAACUGAGGCACAGAUAUGCUCUUGGGUACUUGUCAGCAGCAGUUGUUCUACAAGCUAAAUAUCUGGAUAUCUUAAAUCUCAGAUGAGCGUCUUAGCCUCUGGAUUACUGCUCAAUGAGGAAAGCUAUGAAAUGCAUGGAUAACUUGCUAAUCAGUAUUUGCCAUAUGUGCUAGCAGCAUCAGCAUCAGUUGGGAGAUUAUGGUGGCCUCCAUGUCAGACCUCCUAAAUCGGAAUAUCAGAGAAGGUGGCCCAGGUUACCAUGCUUCAUCUGCCAAUGCAUUGAAAACUUGGAAUGUAAAUUAAUUCAACCAUUGUGGAAGAUGGUGUAGUGAUUCCUCAAAGACCUAGAAGCAGAAAUAUCAUUUGAUCCAGAAAUCCCAUUACUGUGUAUACACCCAAAGGAAUAUAAACCAUUCUAUUACAAAGA
Homo sapiens (human) is the source of this 642-nucleotide long non-coding RNA. The record is from Ensembl. Lineage: Eukaryota; Metazoa; Chordata; Mammalia; Primates; Hominidae.